RNAcentral lists this long non-coding RNA (486 nucleotides) under Homo sapiens (human). RNAcentral describes it as "HSALNT0181837". The record is from RNAcentral. Lineage: Eukaryota; Metazoa; Chordata; Mammalia; Primates; Hominidae.
AGAACCAAGUGAAAAAUCAGAGGCCACCUACAUGACCAUGCACCCAGUUUGGCCUUCUCUGAGGUCAGAUCGGAACAACUCACUUGAAAAAAAGUCAGGUGGGGGAAUGCCAAAAACACAGCAAGCCUUUUGAGAAGAAUGGAGAGUCCCUUCAUCUCAGCAGCGGUGGAGACUCUCUCCUGUGUGUGUCCUGGGCCACUCUACCAGUGAUUUCAGACUCCCGCUCUCCCAGCUGUCCUCCUGUCUCAUUGUUUGGUCAAUACACUGAAGAUGGAGAAUUUGGAGCCUGGCAGAGAGACUGGACAGCUCUGGAGGAACAGGCCUGCUGAGGGGAGGGGAGCAUGGACUUGGCCUCUGGAGUGGGACACUGGCCCUGGGAACCAGGCUGAGCUGAGUGGCCUCAAACCCCCCGUUGGAUCAGACCCUCCUGUGGGCAGGGUUCUUAGUGGAUGAGUUACUGGGAAGAAUCAGAGAUAAAAACCAACC